UGUGCAUUCAUUUGAUGUGAUCCAAGUAUAUCAGAAAUAUACGCUUUUUUUGUAUCUUUUAUUCAAGAAAUCUUAUGGAGCUUCCAAGAAUAUUAAGAGGGAAGGAAAUGGUAUUCUCAAACUGGAGAUCUGGCACGAUUGAUUGCAACAAAGUGAACACCACUAAAAGUACCAAAGGUGCCAUCAGAUGGGGGUGUUGAACAAGGAAACAGGUUAUGUUUAUAAGAAAUGAACAGCUUACAGAAUGGCUGGGUGUGUUUAAGGUUGUUGUUAUGAAUUAUGAUUCAUCUGAGCUGAAAAACCCACUCCCCAGACCAUGAACUAUUUCUGCCUUUCUUUACAGUGCUCUGCAGACAGCUGAGAUUCUAUUUCUCAUUAGGAUGUUUCACACACAUUUUGCAAAUCCAAACCAGCAAAACUCGGAUUAGGCCAUUCACCCCACAAGAAUCCACUCUGUAAGGGCCAAUCUAUUUGAGCCCUGAUGAAUUCAAAGCAUGCUUUACAGUUUUCCUCAGAUAUUAUUGGCACUCUGCUUGUGACACAUUCCAAUUAAUCCAGACUACUUGGUUCAUUUGCAGACAGUUCUCAUUGAUUGCUUUAAUGCUGUGCAAGUCUUCAUUCUACUUGAUAUCAACUGCAGACAUAUUCAGUAGUUGACUUCUAACAUUCUGUGAAUAAAUAUCUCUGCUGUUGAGGAUGUUUUUAAUGGUCUAAUACAUCCAGGAGAAUCAUAAUGACAGUGUCUCUGUAGGUGAUACAGCUUUCACACCUGACAACACCUGAGAUACAAAGUAAUGCUCUGUAAUAAACAGUGUUCUUGUGUAGUAUAAUACUGUAACAAUGUAUGAUGGUUUCAUCAUGAAUUUUAAUUAAAGUUUGCAACUCUUUACUUGUGGUUCUAAAUUAAUGGAAUUGUGAAAUUUAAAACCAUGGAAGACUUUUGAAAAAAUUAUUCAAAUUAAAUAUUAUUCAAAUAAAUUUUUAUAAUUUGUUUUAAGUGCUGAUAAAUUUCUUCAUAUUAUCAAUAUGUAUUGAUUAUACUAUUUGAAAACAAUAAAAAAUUCAAAAAUCUACUUAAUGGUUCUAAAUUCAUAGCAGCCAGUAUGACGGUGUGUGUCUUUCAGCUUUUAUGUGUGGCCAUGAAGGUCAAACAAAUCAACACUGGUACUUAUUUUAUUGGUCCUUAUUCUAUAGGUUUGUUUUACUGAACCAUUAAGUUACAGGGACAUAAACAAACCAACACACAUAUGUACAUACAAUGGGCCGCUUCCUGUUUCUAUCUGCCAAAUCCAUUCACAAGGCUAUAGGAGAUUCUUGCCCAGGUGUUGCACAGUAGAGCUGAACCCCAGACCACAUGAUUGGGAAACCAGCUUCUUAACUACAUGGCAACACGUGUGUGUGUGUGUAUAUAUGUAUAUAUAUAUACAUACUCUUUUACUUGUUUCAGUCAUUUGACUGUGGCCAUGCUGGAGCACCGCCUUUAGUCAAGCAAAUCGACC
RNAcentral lists this long non-coding RNA (1499 nucleotides) under Octopus vulgaris (common octopus). Lineage: Eukaryota; Metazoa; Mollusca; Cephalopoda; Octopoda; Octopodidae. The record is from RNAcentral.